Molecule: long non-coding RNA, 693 nt
Filed under: Helianthus annuus (common sunflower)
Lineage: Eukaryota; Viridiplantae; Streptophyta; Magnoliopsida; Asterales; Asteraceae
Description: hypothetical non coding rna
Source: RNAcentral
GCCUGUAACCAGCGGCCAUCGGAAUAACCACCAAAUCCGGCACCAUCUACAUCUUCUCUCUCUUUCUCUUAGGCCAACAAAUCCGUGAAGAAUGAAGGUGGUGGCGGUGCGGUGUUUCGACUGAGAAACCCUAGAUCCGUGUCGCCAUCUCAAAACACCACCAUCAUACCAUUAGGGUUUUACUAUCUACUAAACUCCGUUGGAUUAGAAGAAAGAAGAAAUGGAGACUUCGUUGAGAUAAGACAGAGAUUCGAGCGCCCUGAAAAUCAACAAGACGACGACGACCAACAACAAGAAGGGUCCUCGGACGGUGAGGUAUGCCAGCGAUGCUUCCGGCUCCACCCUCAAAAUCUAUGCUAAGCAGAAGUUCCAUAUCGAUUCCAACACUCGUCUUCAGCUGAAAAGAAGCAAAAUUAUAUGGAUUAUGAAGGACGUUGGUGGUGCUUCUUUAGCAACUAUCAAGAUUUAGAAGAAAGAUUUUAGGCUAUGGUUGUUUUGAAAUGUGAUUGACAAGCGGUGGUGCUUCGUUGUGUGAACAGGCAAGACUUUAUUUUAUUGAAUUGUGACAAGCAGAGCCAUUAAUUUUGUAUUAUGGAUAUUUUGAAAGAAUGUGUAUAGGCUGAAGUGAUUUGGGAUAAGCAUAUAUAUGAAUGUAACAAUUUGUUUAUAUGAAUAAAAGUUCGGAUCAUAAAG